UGUUGCAGACCUUAAAGUCCCAGGACAUGUAUGAAAAACGCCAAACCAGGGUUGGGCCUGGUUAGUACUUGGAUGAGAGAUUGCUGGGAAUAUCAGAUGCAACAA
Molecule: ribosomal RNA, 105 nt
Filed under: Periophthalmus magnuspinnatus
Lineage: Eukaryota; Metazoa; Chordata; Actinopteri; Gobiiformes; Gobiidae
Source: RNAcentral